UGGGGAAUUUUGGACAAUGGGGGAAACCCUGAUCCAGCCAUCCCGCGUGUGCGAUGAAGGCCUUCGGGUUGUAAAGCACUUUUGGCAGGAAAGAAACGUCAUGGGUUAAUACCCCGUGAAACUGACGGUACCUGCAGAAUAAGCACCGGCUAACUACGUGCCAGCAGCCGCGGUAAUACGUAGGGUGCAAGCGUUAAUCGGAAUUACUGGGCGUAAAGCGUGCGCAGGCGGUUCGGAAAGAAAGAUGUGAAAUCCCAGAGCUCAACUUUGGAACUGCAUUUUGAACUACCGGGCUAGAGUGUGUCAGAGGGAGGUGGAAUUCCGCGUGUAGCAGUGAAAUGCGUAGAUAUGCGGAGGAACACCGAUGGCGAAGGCAGCCUCCUGGGAUAACACUGACGCUCAUGCACGAAAGCGUGGGGAGCAAACAGG
RNAcentral lists this ribosomal RNA (429 nucleotides) under Acidobacteriota bacterium. Its description in RNAcentral is "Acidobacteria bacterium partial 16S ribosomal RNA". It matches the Rfam family "Bacterial small subunit ribosomal RNA", at positions 355 to 776 of the family's 1533-position model. The record is from RNAcentral. Lineage: Bacteria; Pseudomonadati; Acidobacteriota.